GUCUACGACCAUGCCACCCUGAACAAGCCCGAUCCUGUCUGAUCUCGGAAGCUAAGCAGGGUCAGGCCUGGAGUACUUGGAUGGGAAACCACCUAGGAAUACCAGGUUCUACAGGCA
Molecule: ribosomal RNA, 117 nt
Filed under: Pteropus alecto (black flying fox)
Lineage: Eukaryota; Metazoa; Chordata; Mammalia; Chiroptera; Pteropodidae
Source: RNAcentral